This 72-nucleotide transfer RNA is filed under the name Biomphalaria glabrata. It matches the Rfam family "tRNA". From Rfam's summary of the family: Transfer RNA (tRNA) molecules are approximately 80 nucleotides in length. The record is from Rfam by way of RNAcentral. Lineage: Eukaryota; Metazoa; Mollusca; Gastropoda; Planorbidae.
GGUGUUAUGGCUGAGCGGUGAAGCUCUUGGCUUCCGAACUGGGGGUCCCGGGUUAAAAUCCUGGUAAUGACU